AAGGCAUCCCAGAUAUAAAUAAAGCGACAUCCCCAGAUCUUGUUUGCUCCACAAUAUUUAGAAAGGGGGUUCAAAAACCAUAAACGAAAAAGAAAUUAAGAGAAACCAAAAAAGAAAAAAGAAAAAAAAAGGACGAUGUAAAUACAUUCCUUCCUAGACAGACCAAAUAUACAUUAGGGAAAAGAAAUUUAGGGACCUGAAUUUACAAAACGGUGUUGAUAUGGAGUGCUUUAAGGAGAGAAGUAGCCAUCUGUUUAACCAACACUUGGCCUCCAGAACGUUGCCCAUCUCUGCGCUCCUCAAUCAGAUUCUG
Molecule: long non-coding RNA, 313 nt
Filed under: Vitis vinifera (wine grape)
Lineage: Eukaryota; Viridiplantae; Streptophyta; Magnoliopsida; Vitales; Vitaceae
Description: long non-coding RNA (VVIN_LNC000027)
Source: RNAcentral